GUGAGUCAUCGAAUCUUUGAACGCACAUUGCGCCCGCUAGUAUUCUGGCGGGCAUGCCUGUCCGAGCGUCAUUUCAACCCUCAGAGCCCACCGCUUGCGGUGCGGCGCUGGUGUUGGGGAUCGGCCCGCCUCCGCGCGGCGCCGUCCCCCAAAUACAGUGGCGGUCUCGCUGCAGCCUCCCCUGCGUAGUAGCAACACUCGCAUGCGGAGCGCGGCGCGGCCACGCCGUAAAACCCCCGACUUUCUGAACGUUGACCUCGGAUCAGGUAGGAAUACCCGCUGAACUUAAGCAUAUCAAUAAGCGGAGGA
RNAcentral lists this unclassified non-coding RNA (309 nucleotides) under Alfaria sp. (in: ascomycete fungi). Its description in RNAcentral is "Alfaria sp. partial contains 5.8S ribosomal RNA, internal transcribed spacer 2, and large subunit ribosomal RNA". The stretch from base 1 to 71 matches the Rfam family "5.8S ribosomal RNA", at positions 84 to 154 of the family's 154-position model. The record is from RNAcentral. Lineage: Eukaryota; Fungi; Ascomycota; Sordariomycetes; Hypocreales; Stachybotryaceae.